This 150-nucleotide microRNA precursor is filed under the name Tursiops truncatus (common bottlenose dolphin). RNAcentral describes it as "miRNA (ENSTTRG00000022779.1)". The record is from RNAcentral. Lineage: Eukaryota; Metazoa; Chordata; Mammalia; Artiodactyla; Delphinidae.
AAUGCAGAAUUCCAAGUUAAACUUGAGUUUCAGAUAAAUCAUGAAUAAUUUUUAAGUAUGAGUAUGCAUGCAGUAUUUGGGACAUACUUAUACUAAAAAAUUAUUUGUUGUCUCUCUGAAAUUCAAAUUUAACUGGGCAUCUUGUGUUUU